GACGAACGCUGGCGGCAGGCCUAACACAUGCAAGUCGAGCGGACCUUUCGGGGUCAGCGGCGGACGGGUGAGUAACGCGUGGGAAUAUGCCCUUCUCUACGGAAUAGUCCUGGGAAACUUGUGGUAAUACCGUAUACGCCCUUUGGGGGAAAGAUUUAUCGGGGAAGGAUUAGCCCGCGUUGGAUUAGGUAGUUGGUGGGGUAAUGGCCUACCAAGCCGACGAUCCAUAGCUGGUUUGAGAGGAUGAUCAGCCACACUGGGACUGAGACACGGCCGAGACUACUACGGGAGGCAGCAGUGGGGAAUCUUAGACAAUGGGGGCAACCCUGAUCUAGCCAUGCCGCGUGAGUGAUGAAGGCCUUAGGGUUGUAAAGCUCUUUCAGCUGGGAAGAUAAUGACGGUACCAGCAGAAGAAGCACCGGCUAACUCCGUG
Molecule: ribosomal RNA, 433 nt
Filed under: uncultured bacterium
Lineage: Bacteria
Description: partial 16S ribosomal RNA
Rfam family: Bacterial small subunit ribosomal RNA
Source: RNAcentral